Long non-coding RNA from Dermochelys coriacea (leatherback sea turtle), 987 nucleotides. RefSeq lists it as uncharacterized. NCBI's taxonomy places the organism in Eukaryota, Metazoa, Chordata, Testudines, Dermochelyidae. The record is from RefSeq and is a predicted model, not a curated record. The transcript is spliced from 2 exons.
CAGGAGGCCAACUCCCAUUCCAGUGCUGCCCCCAUGACCUGCCGGUUCUACAAAGAGCUGGACACAAUACUUGGGGAUGACUCCACCUCCAUUGCAAAGACCACCAUGGGCACUUCAGAGGCAGCCCAGAGUGCAAUGAGCCAGGAGGAGGAAAGUGGGAGCAAGGGUACUGAGAAGGAGGAGGGCCCAGAGCCAGAGGACGAUUCACCACCCAUAGAUGCAUGAAGCCAGGAGCUGUUUUCAAGCCUGGAGGAAGGUAGCCAGUCACAGAAGAUGGAGCUUGGGGAAGAGCAAACAGCAGAGGAGGUGCCCAAUACAACCUUGAGAUCCAAGCCAUCCUUGUUAUCAACGGCUGAAGGCCGAAUGGCUGUGCAGACUCAGGAAGUGGCCAUGAAGAAGCAAGAAGUACCUUCUGCAUGAAGUUAUGCAGCAGUCCCUUGCUGAAAAUCAAAAAGUGCAGGAGUGGUGGGAGAGUGAGAGGAGAACAUGGAUCACCGGAAAGAAACUGUGGAGAAGCUCCUAAGCAUUAUGGAGCGCCGAGUGGACUCGAUGCAGGUGCUAGUAACACUGCAUUUGGAGCAGAUCCAUGCCCACCCCCACCCCCAUGCAGCUCUUGUCCCAAAACUCUUUCCCUUGCACCCCUACGUCACCACGAACACAGUUUGCCCAACAUCCUGUUUCUUGUCACCACCAGCUGCCUACAAAACCUGCGCCUUCACCAUCCAGCCCUGCAAACUCCAACCAUUACCCACUUCAUUCAACCCCCAUCUCCAUGCAGUUUAGCCUGGAUGAAGUGCAGCACCCGUUGCACGGCACUGCAGAUGGAAAGGCUGCAUAAGCCACCUGGACUUAUGCCAAUCUGUAAUGGUGCUGGGCCCCCACCAAAACCUCCCUCCACUCUUCCGCCACACUGUGCAGUUGUGUGAUCCCAUUUGUGUCUCUGCAACUUGUCUUUUGUAAAUUUUAAUAAAUGAAUUUUGGUUUUGG